RNAcentral lists this ribosomal RNA (505 nucleotides) under uncultured bacterium. RNAcentral describes it as "bacterial SSU rRNA". It matches the Rfam family "Bacterial small subunit ribosomal RNA", at positions 392 to 916 of the family's 1533-position model. The record is from RNAcentral.
GCACGCCGGUGAGGGAUGACGGCCUUCGGGUUGUAAACCGCUUUCAGCAGGGACGAAAAUGACGGUACCUGCAGAAGAAGCCCCGGCCAACUACGUGCCAGCAGCCGCGGUAACACGUAGGGGGCGAGCGUUGUCCGGAUUUAUUGGGCGUAAAGAGCUCGUAGGCGGUUUCGUAAGUCGGGUGUGAAAGCUUCAGGCUCAACCUGGAGAAGCCACUCGGUACUGCGAUGACUAGAGUCCGGUAGGGGAGCGUGGAAUUCCUGGUGUAGCGGUGAAAUGCGCAGAUAUCAGGAGGAACACCAACGGCGAAGGCAGCGCUCUGGGCCGGAACUGACGCUGAGGAGCGAAAGCGUGGGUAGCGAACAGGAUUAGAUACCCUGGUAGUCCACGCCGUAAACGUUGGGCACUAGGUGUGGGAUCUUUCCAACGGAUUCCGUGCCGUAGCUAACGCAUUAAGUGCCCCGCCUGGGAGUACGGCCGCAAGGCUAACUCAAAGGAUUGACGG